This 253-nucleotide ribosomal RNA is filed under the name uncultured bacterium. Its description in RNAcentral is "partial 16S ribosomal RNA". It matches the Rfam family "Bacterial small subunit ribosomal RNA", at positions 524 to 776 of the family's 1533-position model. The record is from RNAcentral.
UACGUAGGGUGCAAGCGUUGUCCGGAAUUAUUGGGCGUAAAGAGCUCGUAGGCGGUCUGUCGCGUCGGAUGUGAAAAUCCAGGGCUUAACCCUGGGCCUGCAUUCGAUACGGGCAGACUAGAGUUCGGUAGGGGAGACUGGAAUUCCUGGUGUAGCGGUGAAAUGCGCAGAUAUCAGGAGGAACACCGGUGGCGAAGGCGGGUCUCUGGGCCGUAACUGACGCUGAGGAGCGAAAGCAUGGGGAGCGAACAGG